UGGGCUGUGGUUUAUGAAAAAAUCUGGGCUUUGGGAGUCCAAGAAGCCCAAUGGGCUGGCUCAA
This 64-nucleotide transfer RNA is filed under the name Xylophaga dorsalis. RNAcentral describes it as "tRNA-Pro". Lineage: Eukaryota; Metazoa; Mollusca; Bivalvia; Myida; Xylophagaidae. The record is from RNAcentral.